This 209-nucleotide long non-coding RNA is filed under the name Solanum tuberosum (potato). Its description in RNAcentral is "long non-coding RNA (STUB_LNC009858)". Lineage: Eukaryota; Viridiplantae; Streptophyta; Magnoliopsida; Solanales; Solanaceae. The record is from RNAcentral.
GAGGGCAAGGAGCGAUUGUACCAGCUCCCCUUACACCUAGACCAGUUUCAGCAGUGCCCCCUCUAGCUAGAGGUGGUGGUCAGGACCAGGGUCGUCGGGACAGCCGACAGGGUACCAGAGGCGGAGCUCGAGGAGGCAGGCUAGGUGGUAGAUCAGAUGCAUCGGGCAGAGGUGCUCAGAGCCAUUUCUACGCAGCCCCGGCGAGGGCG